Molecule: long non-coding RNA, 296 nt
Organism: Solenopsis invicta (red fire ant)
Lineage: Eukaryota; Metazoa; Arthropoda; Insecta; Hymenoptera; Formicidae
Exons: 2
Source: RefSeq, a predicted model, not a curated record
AGAUAACGAUUCAAAUGCUGUAGAAGUUGUACCAAUCUCAUGGCUGAUAUUUACAAGUGGUAAAACAAUGUGCAAAUGGCCAGAAAAAAAUGCUAGGAAAUAUACAUACGAGAAGAACCCCCAAAAGACAAUUGGCAAAAAUACACAGUACAACUAAUAUUGCAAAGUGAUUCAUACAAAGAAGCUGUACAUGUUGUACAAAAAAAAAACUCGAACCGAUACAUCAGAAUCGCAACCAUCUUCGCAAUUAGGCCGAGAGAAAAGGAAAAAAAAAAAAAAAUCCCACCCAGUUACAG